GAUGAACGCUGGCGGCGUGCCUAAUACAUGCAAGUCGAGCGAAUGGAUUAGGAGCUUGCUCUUAUGAAGUUAGCGGCGGACGGGUGAGUAACACGUGGGUAACCUGCCCAUAAGACUGGGAUAACUCCGGGAAACCGGGGCUAAUACCGGAUAAUAUUUUGAACUGCAUGGUUCAAAAUUGAAAGGCGGCUUCGGCUGUCACUUAUGGAUGGACCCGCGUCGCAUUAGCUAGUUGGUGAGGUAACGGCUCGCCAAGGCAACGAGGCGUAGCCGACCUGAGAGGGUGAUCGGCCAAACUGGGACUGGGACACGGCCCAGACUCCGACGGGAGGCAGCAGUAGGGAAUCUUCCGCAAUGGACGAAAGUCUGACGGAGCAACGCCGCGUGAGUGAUGAAGGCUUUCGGGUCGUAAAACUCUGUUGUUAGGGAAGAACAAGUGCUAGUUGAAUAAGCUGGCACCUUGACGGUACCUAACCAGAAAGCCACGGCUAACUACGUGCCAGCAGCCGCCGUAA
Molecule: ribosomal RNA, 515 nt
Filed under: uncultured bacterium
Lineage: Bacteria
Description: partial 16S ribosomal RNA
Rfam family: Bacterial small subunit ribosomal RNA
Source: RNAcentral